AUGUUGCUAAAUAGCUGUUUUAAAAAAAGCUUACGGAUGGAUGAAUUAUUUCUUGUGCCAAAGACAGACUGUACCACGCUACCACCGUACCUAUUCUUCCAUUUUGCUACUCUACACAGAGUAACUCUACGACGUAGCGUUCACGUACGAUGUUCUCAAUUACCGCUAAGUCAGCAUGGGGCCAAGUUCGGGACAAAGACGACAGAUGAGACGACAGCAGUCAAAAGGCAAUGGCAUAAGCUAAUAAUUCCUAACCCGGCGAGCUCACUACUAUUUCGGCAACGCUGCAAAAUACCAAAGAAAUCAGCUGACUAUGAGGACAAGAAAUAUUCGAACCAAAAAAGAAGUCCCAUGUAUUGUGUAAAAAGUUUAAAGACCGUAUUUGAUGACACACAAUUUCCAAUUGAUGAUGACAAUGUCAUGCUUCAUCGUCUUGGCGACAGGUUGGAAUUUUUGCUUCAUGUUGGACUAAGGCAAAGUUCUGGUGUGUUUAGUCGAUCAAGAAGUCCUUGGCAUUACAUAAAUUCGUGCCUUAGCAAGUUGAAAACCAAUCACGAUGGAAUCCAUUUCGUCAGAGGAUUAUCUGAGCUUAAGACUCCUACAGGGAAACUUCGUUCUUUUCUCAGAUUUUGCCUUGUACAUCAAUGCCUGGCAGACACUUUGCAGCAAUGCACACUGUGUGAUGAUGUAACCAGUGAAUAUUACAGUGCAAAUUCUUUAUUUUCACAACAAACUUGGAAAUCAAGUUUUAUCUCAUCACUCUAUGAACUCAACGACAUUCAGUACGACCUAGCUCCGACCGGCUUCGAUUUGGAUGUCGGAUGGCCUACUUUUGCUCGGAAGCAGUUUGGCAGCUUCAACUGGAGCAGACAACAACGAUCCUCCUCGAGGCUCUCUCUCAGUCUACUCUCCGCCUCAGAAUCUCAGAGCGUCAAUAGCUUUCACAGUGAACUGACUUCGCCUUUGUGCACUGGCCCGUUAAACUCAACCAUGACCAGUAGCAUUGGCUCGAGUAGUCCGUCUCCGCCGCCGGAUCCGCAUGAAAUCAGUCGGCUUAUUUCUACCAUACGCCAAAUUACGGAGGAUAAAGAGGAAUUAAAAAUUCAAUUGGAUUCUCUUUGCAGACAGUUGGGCGAGGAAAGAGAAAAUGGAAAAAAGGACCGGGAACAGAUGGAGGUGGAACGACGUCAGUACCAAGAAAAGACAAUUGAAUUGGAGCGACGCUUGGAACUAGCCCACAAGCAGGUGAGCCCACAAACACUUGAAAGUUUGCGACAGGCGGAAGCACUGGGCAGGAAGAUGCUGGCCGCCCGAGAUGGAGAGGUUGAAUUGCUCAAGGCUCAGUUGGUUUCCACCGAGGCUAAAGUGGAUGCGUUAAAAGAACGACAGGAAUUGCAAAAGGUUAUCGUUAUGGGGGAGGUACGUAAGAUGGCCAACGAAAUGGCUGCGACGGAAUUGCAACUCAAGAAAUGGAAAAAAUUGGCUCUUGACUGGGCCCAAAUCGAGCAUAUGGAUGAUAUUAAACUAGACUCUAUUAAAGAAUUGGAAGGAGCCGAAGAGCUGGGCAAAAAACUGAAGGAGCUGUUGAGCGCCCAGCAGACAGCCGCCAAAGAAUUAGAUGCCAUCAAAGAGGCUAACAUGUCGCUGGUGAGGGCCUUAGCACAACACGAUCAUCAGCUGUCGACAGUGACGAGCCAGUUAGAUCAAACCUGGGUCUGGUUCUCCAAACUGAAGACACAGGCAAGUCAAUUACAGACGGACGAAUCGGUGAUGCGCUACGAUUUGAAGGAGAAACGAAAACUUCUCAACAGUUUAAAAGAACAAUUGGAAGUGUCCAAACAGCAAUGGGACCGUAUUCGCAACCAGAAUCACGCCAAUCAAGAAGAAUGGCAGUCCUUUCGAAACGAAUUGGACGGUCGGAAAGUGACGGGCGCAACGGCGAUUGCACAGAAGGAAGUAGAACCAGAACAAGUUGAGGUGGAAAGGGAACAACCAGCCUUUGUUCCUCCUAUCGAUUUAGUGUCGGACAUUGUUCCUAAUCAAGUAGUAACCGACGAUGAUGAAUUGCCUGUACCGGAAUCAUCGACUUCAGCAGACGGAAGAGAAGAACGUUUGCAAUUGAUGGAGCAGCAAUGUCGCUCUCUUUACGCCAAACUCGUCAAUUCCACUAGCCGGAAUGCUGCGUUGGUUAGCCGACUUGCAAAUCUUCAUCAGCAUUAUUCCAUCAAAGAAGAACAACCGUCUUCUCCAACAAUGUCUGCCCCGCCGGAGAGUUUGGUUGAAAAAGUGGUCGAUCAAGGGGAAGAUGCCGAACGAGUGAUUCUGGAGAAAGAUCGCCAAUUGGCGGUCGUAACGGAAGAACUGAAAGCCAUCAAAUUCGACCAAACGACUCGUCAGUUGGAAAAAGAGAAAGAAAAUCAGCAUUGGAAUUUUCUUCUUCAGGCCUACCAGCAACAGGAGGAACAACUCAAAUUGGCUCUCACUCAAUUAGCAGAUAAUGGCCAGCUGAUUGGAUCGUUGCAGCUCCAGUUGAGCACAUUGACAGGUCGCAAUCAGGAAGAACGCCAGUCAUUGGAUGCUCAAUUCCGGCAAAUGGAACUCUCUUUGAUGACUCGAAACGAAGAAUGCGAAGGUUUAGUCAAUGAAAUCCGCUCCACGGUUGCGGAAAUGGAUCAAUUGAGGACAUCGUACAUAGAGUUGCAAGAGAAAUUCAAAUGCUGUCAAGAAGCUGAAUCUCAAGCCAGGUCUGACAAUCAAUUGUUGCGGGAAGAAUCGCUCAUGUUGCGUGACAAAAUCGUCCAACUCAUCAAGGAAAAGGAUUGUCUGUGGCAGCGCAGUGACCGACUUUUGCAUUUACAAAGGAUUCAGGCGACAGACCAAUGGGUAGCUGAUGGAUCUAUUCGUGAUUGUCAGAGCUGUCAGUCUCGUUUCACCAUUUUUGUCCGCCGUCAUCAUUGUCGCUUGUGUGGUCGCAUCUUUUGCCAUUCUUGUUCUGAUUAUUGGCUGAAAAUUGCUUCCAGCUCGCGACCCACGCGUACAUGUCACGAAUGUUUUGCUAUCCAUCGACAGUUUAGCCAACCGGGCGCCACUGCCCAGCUGAGCGAACUCCCACUGGCUGAGCCCCCGGAAGCUAUAGAUCUGAAUACUCAACCAGUUGUCGUUCAACAGCCACAAUCCGAUGGUGGGACAUUGGCGGAACCUUGCGCUGGAUUCAGCGUCAUCAGCGACGAUGAGAUUGUUCAAUCCCUCAACGACUCGAGUCCUUACAGCAGCCCUAAGAAUGGCCCUAUUAACAAAAACAUCCGCACGGCAGCCGUACGCACUUUCACUUCGUUGGUUCAUGAUGUGGUAGAUGAAACUGUCCCGUCUGAAUCCUUCGUCAGCGCAGGAAUGAUUUAUCGGAUUCCGAUCCAGGUCGAACGGCCUGCUUGCACUCUCCAUUGGAAAUUCAAAACCGAUCCGAGGAGCAUCGCGUUCGCUGUUGUGGGAGCUGAGGAUGGCAAUCAAGGCGAUGACUCUUUAACGCGAGUGAUCGUCGAAACAGCUCUGCAUAAAUCGGAAGAGGAUUUUGUGUGCGGGCAGGCUGAAUUGCCCCUCUCUGGACUUUAUUACGUCUACUUUGACAACAGCUACUCCCGUUUCUCUGCCAACAAAGUCACCUUUCAUCUGCGUUUGGCAGCUCCCAGCUCGCCCAUUUGAUGGCAACAACUUCCCAAUUUUUAUCGAUGGCAACUUUCUUUUAUUCAAAAUCGCAAAAGACAAAAGAAAUCAAACGAUCCUUUGAAGAGUGCUCGGAAACUGGUCGUCUUAUUUAUAAUUUUAUAUAGUGCGUCGUUAAUGUCUUUGAUGCAAAGACGUUGAUUUUUCUCUGAAUAGACGUGAUUUGAAGAAACAGGACAAGUUAAAAUGUUGAAAUAUCGGAUUGUUUAAUAGAGACAAAACAUGCGGAAAUCCACAAUUUGGUUAUACAUCACUGUACACGGCAAAAGGAAAAAUAUGUGAUUCAAUUUCAUAUGUGGUUAAAAAUUCGUUGACUUUUUUCAUGUAAUCUGUUUUUAUCUCUUCCCCUCACAGAUUGUUUUGUUUGUUUUUUUUCUCUCUCUUUAGAAGAAGACGUUGAACUCGUCUUCCCAACUGAGUUUCUUGAUCCUUCUGGGUAAUGAGGCGUCAGUCGGCCAGGCGCCCGGUUGACUGCUGCUCAAGAAAGUUCGCGGAUGGUGCGGACAGGGCGCUGGUGGCGGGGACUGUUCGUUGUUGUUGCUGCCGCUGCCGCUGGAAGAGAUCUUGUUAUUGUGGUGGUGAUUGCUAGCCGCCUGUUGCUGCUGCUGCUGCCUGGGUGGGGGAGUAGGUGGUGGCAUUGGUGGAGGAGGUGGUGAAUUGUGGACGGUGCUCAGAGUCGGACUCUGAAUGGGCACCACGCGGCGGCAAGACGGCCUGGCAAGGGGAUUGAUGGGAAUGCGGCGUAGGGUCGCCGUGAUGGGCGUUGAAGUGUCGCCGCUGUAAAGUCCACCGACACUGACUUUAGGUUGCGGCUGGACAACCGUUAAAGGACUGGGUUGGGUCUUUUUCCGUUUGCUGUUCAAUUUUGUUGGAAGCAAGGCUUGAAAUUUGCGUUUUUAUGAAUUUGUGGAUGAGAUUAGAAAACCUACUAUUGACAGAGGUAGACGGCCAGACCAGAGAUGAUGAGAGAUAAAAUGCCCAGCAAUAUUCCCAAGAUGAUUAACAAUAGCCCACUGCCGUCGGCGGUGGAUAAAGUAAUGCCGCUUCCGUUCAUCAUCAGGAAAUCGACUGGUAUCCUUUAUGCGAUGUUUACCUGUCGAGGAGGAAUGCCGGAAUCGCGUGCCACCGCCAUCAGAUGAAUAACUGUCGAAUUGAGAGCUGACGGAUCGCUGAAAAUGACGUCUCCGUUCUCAUGCACAUUAAACGCCCUGGUUUUAAGAUGUAAUCAAAUGAAUCAAUAAAAAGUAACACGGUCGGCUGCAUCGCCGUCAUCUGCGCGGAUGUGUCCGAUGAUGGAGCCGACGGGCAAGGCCGACUCUUUGACAAUGAAUUCGUAUUCGGCCAAAUCGAAACGCGGAUCGCAGUCGUUGACAUCCAGGACGGUAACCUCAACCGUCGCCGUAUCAUUCUGCAAACAUUUCACGGUAACUAAUCGAAUGAUACGGUGCGAUGUAGUGAACAAUACCGUUAGUCCAUCCGUGACCCAUACAACGAAGUGGUGAGUCAUCUGUGCUUCGUAAUCCAACGCGCGUUCCAACUUGAUUUCGCCCAUCUUAUCGACACUGAAGGCUUGAUCCGUUCCAUUGUGACUUUCCAUUACGAAGCGAAUGGUCUUAAAUGAGAAGCGAAAGAUUCAUCAUCCCCGUAAGGCAAACACAACGGCUAUUCAACAACGUUUAGAUCUUUCUUUUGCUCAACGAGUAAUUGCGGUGAUGUUUGGUGCGUAGGCGCCUUUGCAACUGUACAACAACAACAACAAGAAGACGAAGAGACUAUACCAACCUGAUCGAUGGGUUUGUUGAUGGCCAUGGCCAAAAUGAUGGUUUCGACCGGGACAUUCUCCAGUACUUGAACCGAGUAGCGUCGUUGGAGGUAUUGCAAUUGAGGUGAAAACGACCAACUCCGGCUAACGGUUAAAGUGGUUAAUGCGUAACGGUCGAGGUUAUCAACUUGAUAAAUGCCGAUUGAAUUUGAAUAAGGAUAAUACCUUGACGACGAGAAUGACAGGCUGGACUAGCUCGUUAUCUUCUAAACUCCGAUUCAGAUAGACGGAACCGUUUAAUGGGUCAAGAAAGAAAUCUUGGUACUCUGCUCCUCCUGUUGUUCGUCAUUUAAUUGAUUUUAACAAGAAAAAAAAGGAAAGGAUGGCCAUACCGGCGUUCCAGGCAUAACGAAUAGACGCGUUGAUUCCGGCAUCCUGAUCGACGGCGCGCAUCGGUUCCGGUCGGAUUUCUAGACCGAUUCCCUAGGGAAAACGACGGAGAAAAUCGAAAGUGUGUUGGCUUUUCUACAUCUCUUUUCGUGUGUGUGUGGUGAGAACAAACUUUUUUUUUUUUUUAUAUCUUCAAAUUUCUCUUAGUUAUCUAGGUUGCUCCCCCCUCUCUCUUUCUCAUAGCAUCGUACCUGUUAGGAAUUAUUAUUAAUUUGUGUAAUAGGUGUAAGAAUCUCACUUUUUGAGCGGGCUGGGGUAAAUGAGCCCAGUAUCGUGACUGGCCAAACAGUGGGUUCUGGUCGUCGGCGUCGUUUAUGUCGAUGCUAACCACAGCGUCCGUGUAUAGAGGAGGUUGUCCCUGAUCCUAAAAUUUUUUUUAAUUUUUUUUUUACACAAAUAAGAUUAUGUUAGAUUGGAAAGGUGUGCAACUUUAAUGAUUUCUCGCUCUCAAACUGAAGAAGAAAAAGACCUGCGCUCUGAUUGCGAUUUUGAAAUGUUUCAGUGUUUCAUAAUCGACAGCUUUCUUUAAUACUAGGGUACCCUCCAAGCUGCUAGCGAAUCCAAGUACGUCCUAAUAAGUCAUAAUGGACCAUUAGAAGGAGCUGCAAUUACAUUCGAAACAGUGCCACUAAACAAUGUGGCGGUAGAAAUGACGUACCGAAUAAGGCCCAGCUAGAAUAGAGUACUGUACAGUUGAAUAAGGCCCAGGCUGAUCUGCAUCCAGCGCUUGAAUGCCUUGCAAAACGACUGAACCGACUAUCGUUGACUUUUUGUGUGUGUUUCAAUUCAAUUGAAUAGGGAAGGGUAUUAUUAAAUUAGAUUGAAUUCUUUCUUAUCUUUUGCAAAUUGUACCUCUGAAAUGUUGAUGAAAUAGGUCGAAUUGCGGAAAAUGGGCGAAUUAUCGUUGGCGUCCGUCACACGAAUGUUGACUGGAAUCGUUAAACUCUAUUCACGUAAUGACAGUUUGUGUCGUAGGCAAAAGAUACAAAUGUUAUUUUAGUUGCUUUUUGUUUUUCUUAAAUGAGGGGGGUGGGGAUGGGGAUAGCAAAGUAACAUAGUAGUAGUAAAAAGAGAAAAUUGAUUACUAGUUCGGCGUUGGGACCACGACGCUCGCAAGUAAUUCGUGUCAUCACCUGGGCAGGGCCGGUCAGACCCUGCAAUAAUAACCAUCGUUGCACAUAAGUGUGUGUGUAUGUAUGCGAAAAGAGUUCCGGGGGUGGAGUAGAUGUUUUUCUUUUUUUUUUUUUUCCGUCUUAAAAAUAUAUGGGUUAAUUACCUCUUUGUCCAGAGCUUUAAUAAGCGUGAGAUUCUUGCUGUGCGUGUCAAUGGAGACGACUGUUUCAUUGCUGGCCUCUAGGCGCAUGGUGAUAUCGCCAUCGGCACUCGGAUCGCCCGCAAUCCGUAAAACACCUGUGUUUCGCGUCGUGUGUGUGCGCAUUUUUUGUUGGGGGGCAGCGGGAAUGUUUUUGUUUUGCCCAACGGGAAACAAUUUUUUUUUUUUUGUCAGGUAGAGGAAAACAAGAAGAAAAACAGUUUUCAACAAUGUACCAGCAUUUUGAAAUACUUUAUUAUGUAUACCGAUAACGGAACCGACUGUGGCAUUUUCACUGACGAAAAAGGUCUCGGCCGAUCCUCCACCAAUCAGGAAACAUCGAUUGUCUGCACACGCAAUAACACAACGUCCACCAAUUAAGUGCAUUUAUUUUCAUCCGGCACUAACAAAGAUCUACCGUCGAAGGCUAUUUGUUUUUUCUUACCUUGAGCCGAUGCAAAUUGAGCUAAUAAUAGAAGGAAGGUGAAGGGUAUCCAUGACAAAUAAGGGCGGAAUGUUUUCAUUGUGUCAUUCCGGUAGAUGGCUCAUCCGGUCUUGUUUUUUCUUCGUAAGGCCAACGCCAAAGAAAAAACAAACAAAACACCUGAGCUAUUAGUCACUGAUCCCUUCCUAAACCCCUAAAAAAAGAAAGAAAAAGAGAAGAACCAGAAUUAAAGCGGCGUGUGCUGUUUGGUGUAAGUAUCGAUUUAACAGGACUUGUUGUCAAAAGUAAAUGGAAGAGGGGAAGACCUCGAAAUAUAAGCACAACAUCCUGUUGUCAGCGCUUGCUUCCUAUAUCAACAUUUGUUUGUGGCUAAAAAGAAAAAUAUUUCAACAAAAAAAAGUGGGGGGGGGGGCGCUAUCGGCCCUAGCUCUAUACCAAACGGUACCUGAUGAUCCAAAACAGGAAAUGGUCCGGCAAAUCGCUAAUGCUAUGUCUUUUUGUUUGUUUUUUUUUAUGGCCGGCCUUGCACUUGAGGACGUGCUAUCCUAAAACGGAAAAAAAGAUUUCCGUUGGACUUUUCUUGAACAAACAAAAUAGGAUUUGUCUGUUGGAGAAUCAAGCCGAACGUCAAGACCGUUAGAAACAGUAGUAUCAAGUGUAGCCUACUGUAUAAAACCGCACAAACAGUCCAUUGUUUGGGGUGGAGUUGACGACCGCAAUAGUUCGUUAUUUCGUGAUCGAGGAUCUUACGACUCUUCAGGAUGAAAAACGGAUACCAUGUUCUAAACAUGUCCAUUUAAAUGCUAGAUAGAAUUGAAGUUUACCUGUGUGCUAUCCGGUGACUGUUCGGGGAUCGAGUUGAUCGACUACUAAUUCCACUUAAGUUACCAAUCCACCGUCAAAACGUUGGAUAGAAACAAUGGUGCACACUUAACAAUCACUUCAAGUCACGAACGAAGAAGCCUUUGCUCGCCCUCUCUUGAAGGAGGCGUGUCCACGUGGGCGGAGACUCAUUCAGUUUGGCUUGGAAUUUGUGUAAAUCUUAUUAUGUUUGUUAAGUAUAUUUUAUCUAAUUUAAAAUUUAGUGAAUAAAAAAACUAUUUUGACUUACAAUUCAGAUUAUCAAAUAAUUGAAUUACAUUUGCGUCAGUUAUGAUCUUGUAUGGCAACAAUGUGGGAUUUGACACGUAGGUAGACGUUUUGCAGUCUUUUCGGUUUUUCUCUCGCUGUGGCCUGGUCGCGUAGCGUUGCUCAUCGACAGGUUCUUUUUGCGUUGGACCGAGCUAUCCAGCUGUCGUGUUUUCCAUUUGUUUUUCUCAGACACCGAUCGCCGUACUAUUUCUGAAAAUGGUGGCUUCUCAAAGAAUGAAGGUAGCUAACGAAAAAGCCAGCAAAUACGUCACCAUGAGAGGAAAUGUGCCCAAAUCAAGC
Molecule: RNA transcript, 9120 nt
Organism: Daphnia magna
Lineage: Eukaryota; Metazoa; Arthropoda; Branchiopoda; Diplostraca; Daphniidae
Gene name: FYVE and coiled-coil domain-containing protein 1
Exons: 20
Source: RefSeq, a predicted model, not a curated record